RNAcentral lists this ribosomal RNA (401 nucleotides) under uncultured bacterium. RNAcentral's name for it is "bacterial SSU rRNA". It matches the Rfam family "Bacterial small subunit ribosomal RNA", at positions 356 to 772 of the family's 1533-position model. The record is from RNAcentral.
GAGGAAUAUUGCCCAAUGGGCGCAAGCCUGAGGCAGCGACGCCGCGUGGGUGAUGAAGGCCUUCGGGUCGUAAAGCCCUUUUCUGUGUGACGAGCAAAGGACGGUAGCACAGGAAAAAGUCUCGGCUAACUACGUGCCAGCAGCCGCGGUAAAACGUAGGAGGCAAGCGUUAUCCGGAGUUACUGGGCGUAAAGCGUGCGUAGGCGGAUGGGUAAGUGCGUGGUGAAAGCGCCCGGCUAAACCGGGCGAGGACCAUGCAGACUGCUCGUCUAGAGGCGGAUAGAGGGGUGCGGAAUUCCGGGUGUAGCGGUGAAAUGUGUAGAGAUCCGGAGGAACACCAGUGGUGCAAACGGCGCCCUGGGUCCGAACUGACGCUGAGGCACGAAAGCGUGGGGAGCGAA